GCCAGAGUGGUGGAAUUGGUAGACACGACGGAUUCAAAAUCCGUUGCCUUCGCGGGCGUGCCGGUUCAAGUCCGGCCUCUGGUA
This 84-nucleotide transfer RNA is filed under the name Alloalcanivorax dieselolei B5. Its description in RNAcentral is "Alcanivorax dieselolei B5 tRNA". It matches the Rfam family "tRNA". From Rfam's summary of the family: Transfer RNA (tRNA) molecules are approximately 80 nucleotides in length. Their secondary structure includes four short double-helical elements and three loops (D, anti-codon, and T loops). The record is from Rfam by way of RNAcentral. Lineage: Bacteria; Pseudomonadati; Pseudomonadota; Gammaproteobacteria; Oceanospirillales; Alcanivoracaceae. RNAcentral also lists the same sequence under 1 other name.